RNAcentral lists this ribosomal RNA (490 nucleotides) under uncultured bacterium. RNAcentral's name for it is "bacterial SSU rRNA". It matches the Rfam family "Bacterial small subunit ribosomal RNA", at positions 30 to 517 of the family's 1533-position model. The record is from RNAcentral.
AUUGAACGCUGGCGGCAUGCCUAACACAUGCAAGUCGAACGGGGGUAGGGGCAACUCUACUUCAGUGGCGGACGGGUGAGGAAUGCGUCGGAAUCUACCCUAUGGUGGGGGAUAACACAGGGAAACUUGUGCUAAUACCGCAUGAUGUCGAGAGACCAAAGCAGGGGACCGCAAGGCCUUGCGCGAUAGGAUGAGCCGACGCCCGAUUAGCUAGUUGGUAGGGUAAAGGCCUACCAAGGCGACGAUCGGUAGCUGGUCUGAGAGGAUGAUCAGCCACACUGGGACUGAGACACGGCCCAGACUCCUACGGGAGGCAGCAGUGGGGAAUAUUGGACAAUGGGCGCAAGCCUGAUCCAGCAAUGCCGCGCGUGUGAAGAAGGCCUGCGGGUUGUAAAGCACUUUUGUUCGGGAAGAAAUCAUGUCGGUUAAUACCCGAUGUGGAUGACGGUACCGAAAGAAUAAGCACCGGCUAACUUCGUGCCAGCAGCCG